ACUUUCCUUGUCAUGGGGUGGAUUGGUAGGCUCAAUGAACGCUAUGUGAGAGUCUUCCUGCUGACACCAUAGCAACACAUUAGCACCGCCUGGGCCACGUGCUCACGGUCGGGUGCAAUUUUUGGAAAC
Molecule: non-coding RNA, 129 nt
Filed under: Gouania willdenowi (blunt-snouted clingfish)
Lineage: Eukaryota; Metazoa; Chordata; Actinopteri; Blenniiformes; Gobiesocidae
Description: U4atac minor spliceosomal RNA (ENSGWIG00000001455.1)
Rfam family: U4atac minor spliceosomal RNA
About the family: U4atac is an essential component of the minor U12-type spliceosome complex which is required for removal of the rarer class of eukaryotic introns (AT-AC, U12-type).
Source: Rfam by way of RNAcentral